Molecule: long non-coding RNA, 655 nt
Organism: Helicoverpa armigera (cotton bollworm)
Lineage: Eukaryota; Metazoa; Arthropoda; Insecta; Lepidoptera; Noctuidae
Exons: 3
Source: RefSeq, a predicted model, not a curated record
GAUAGCCAUAUUGUGUACUUUCUCAUAUAGAUUUGUUGAAAGCUGCGAUAGGGACGUACGUUCAGUGUUCAGAGAGCGUUUCGAGAGGAACGUUGUCGCGAUUUGUUUGCGUGCGGAAUUUUCGCAAACCCCUACAUGUGAUUUAUUAAAAAAAAACUAGUGAUGUCCCUUGAGGGUGAUUUUAGGACAGAUACGUCCGUAAUGAGGGUCCGGGCUCGUUAUAAUGGUUGGAUUGUGUAAAAAAAUCGCGUUCGAAUAUCAAAACAAAGUCAGUACGUUUGAUUUGUUGGAGAUUUUGUGCGUAUGUAUUUAUAUUGUAAAUAUUUGAGUCGCGUUUAAUUGAUGUCGUUGCUUGAGUGAAACGUUUUGGAAAAAAAAAACAAAGUGUAGUGAUGUGUUUGUUUGGUGGAUUUGAAUUUUGAAUUUGGAACUAUUGAUACUGAUGAUGACGUGUUUAAUGCCAACAUGAGGAUUUGAGGUCACCAACAUGACUGCAACUAAAACAGAAAUGGUGCACGCGGGCAGCAGCUUCCAGUGGGACAAGCUGUCGCCCGCAGAGUUCCAGCAGUUGCAGGAGUUGACCUCAUGUGAGUACACACUUAUUAUCUGUUAUAGACAGAAAUGGUGCACGCGGGCAGCAGCUUCCAGUGGGACA